RNAcentral lists this ribosomal RNA (486 nucleotides) under uncultured bacterium. Its description in RNAcentral is "partial 16S ribosomal RNA". It matches the Rfam family "Bacterial small subunit ribosomal RNA", at positions 28 to 507 of the family's 1533-position model. The record is from RNAcentral.
GACGAACGCUGGCGGCGUGCUUAACACAUGCAAGUCGAACGCUGAAGACCUGGCUUUUGUUGGGUUGGAUGAGUGGCGAACGGGUGAGUAACACGUGAGUAACCUGCCCUCUUCUUUGGGAUAACGCCCGGAAACGGGUGCUAAUACUGGAUAUUCACUGGCCUUCGCAUGGGGGUUGGUGGAAAGGUUUGUUCUGGUGGGGGAUGGGCUCGCGGCCUAUCAGCUUGUUGGUGGGGUGAUGGCCUACCAAGGCUUUGACGGGUAGCCGGCCUGAGAGGGUGACCGGUCACAUUGGGACUGAGAUACGGCCCAGACUCCUACGGGAGGCAGCAGUGGGGAAUAUAGCACAAUGGGCGAAAGCCUGAUGCAGCGACGCCGCGUGAGGGAUGGAGGCCUUCGGGUUGUAAACCUCUUUCGCUCAUGGUCAAGCCGCAACUGUGGGUUGUGGUGAGGGUAGUGGGUAAAGAAGCGCCGGCUAACUACGUG